This 331-nucleotide ribosomal RNA is filed under the name bacterium ocnta367lb42onp9.24. RNAcentral describes it as "bacterial SSU rRNA". It matches the Rfam family "Bacterial small subunit ribosomal RNA", at positions 50 to 379 of the family's 1533-position model. The record is from RNAcentral.
UACACAUGCAGUCGAACGGUGAAAGCGGAUGNGCGUCUGCCUGGAUCAGUGGCGAACGGGUGAGUAACACGUGAGCAAUCUGCCCUUGACUCUGGGAUAAGCGCUGGAAACGGCGUCUAAUACCGGAUACGAGCUGCGAAGNNAUCUUCAGCAGUUGGAAAGAACUUCGGUCAAGGAUGAGCUCGCGGCCUAUCAGCUUGUUGGUGAGGUAACGGCUCACCAAGGCGUCGACGGGUAGCCGGCCUGAGAGGGUGACCGGCCACACUGGGACUGAGACACGGCCCAGACUCCUACGGGAGGCAGCAGUGGGGAAUAUUGCACAAUGGGCGCA